Molecule: long non-coding RNA, 746 nt
Filed under: Astyanax mexicanus (Mexican tetra)
Lineage: Eukaryota; Metazoa; Chordata; Actinopteri; Characiformes; Acestrorhamphidae
Description: lncRNA (ENSAMXG00005025422.1)
Source: RNAcentral
GCAGUUGUUUUCCAAGCACUCAGUAUAAAGAGAAGUCCUCUCUCAAGUGCGUUUCUAAAAGCAGCUGUUGUUUUCUGAGGGCUGGUGGGUUUUUGGACACAUUGUUUGAGGAAGUUUCAUAGAAAAAAGGAACCCUACAGGGCAUGAAGUUGCUGCAUCAUUUACUGGAUAGAAUCACCAUGAACCCUCACUGUCCACAACAGCCAGGGGCCUGGGCAGCACCAUGCUACAACCCAGUUCCACCACCACCAGCUGCCUGCUAUCCACCAGUGGCUCCUGGGCCUUAUGCAGGGUAUCCACAAGCAGGUUAUGUACCCUUUAAUCAGCCUCAUCAUCAUGGCCAUCAUCAUGGGCCUUUUCACCAUCAUGGUCAUCAUCAUCAUCAUGGGCCUUUUCACCAUCAUGGUCACCAUCACCAUGGGCCUUUUCACCAUCAUGGUCACCAUGGCAAACACUGCUAGAGGAGACAAAAAUAGAGCAAGCAAUUCAGAAGCAUUGUCUGCAGUGGCUCGCCGCAGAGUGGAUGAAGAAUUAAAACCUUGUUGUCACUUUUUUUCUAAAUUCCUUUUACUGUAACAAAUAAUACUGUUAAUCUUUUUUUAUUUACAAGAAGUAAAUCUAAAGCAGAAGUCUUAGCACCUUUUUAAUAAUGUUUUAACAUAUAACAUUUUGUAUAUGUUUGUAUCACAUUUUGUAGGUUUUUUUUUUUCAAGAGUUGUUUUGUAUAUGAACCUAUUUUCUGUCUU